AGAGUGAGACUCCGUCUCAAGAAAAAAAAAAAAAAGGAGUAGAUAAAUAAUGGUUCACCUACCUAUCCCUACCAAUGACUUAAUUUCCAGCUUAACGCCUGGGGCUCUGUUUCUGAAAAACAGACCUAGGCCGUCUAAUCUGGACUCUGUCAUUGUAACAAAAAUUGAAGUCACUCUCAGGACCCCUCCAGGGUGGAUCAGGAUCAAACCAGACUCCUCAACUAGCUAGCACUAAUCUGCACUUCUAGGUCCAGAUGGAAACACAAUUGUUCUGUUCCAACCAUCUACAUUCAGCUUGAUGUGAAACUACCAUAUAGACUGUCUAGUUAACCAUGGUCAGACAGUAACAGCUGGCUAUUCUACCUCACGUGAUCUCAAAUGAAAAUGUCCAUGCCCCAAUUGCCUAAUCUGCACCACUUUUCUCCCUCCUUCAGGCAAGAAAGGAGCCCAGACGCCACUGCUACUAGCUCUGCCCUUGGUGCUGAAUCAUAAUCUCUCCUCUAUUUUGAUCUCAGGCUUAGAAUCAGUAAUACAAUAUACACAGAUGAGUCCUUUUCCUGGUAUACAUUACAGAGGCUAUGAAUUAGAGGCAGAAAUACUAGGAUUUCUGCAAGGACAGGGAGAGGUGCUCAGAGAAAUUCCCAAACUAUGUCCUAAAAUUAGGAAAAGCUUUCAUGGUCUUAAUUAUACUUUAUUUCCUGUUAAGUGUCUAUACACUUCUCUAAAUAAAACGUUUCACCCUGCUGCACAGCUAUUUCUAGUAGGGCUAUUUCUUCUAUGAGUGGAAGUUCUUUUCUCAUAUUUCUAGUGUUCCAGGAUUCUACCUCUGUGCUCUGCAUGUGGCCUAAGACCUUGUUCAAUGCACACGAAGAGAAACCCGUUAUCGUAUACACAUACACACCCCCUACUCCCUCACCUGCUGCUGCUGCGGGCACCCCCAUAUAUACAGACAUACACACUCCCUGGAUGCUUAAGGCCCUAUUUGGUUUAGGUAAUGAGUAGAAGUUUUUUCUCCCCUACCUAAUAAUAAACAAGACCUAUUUGCAAUACCUCUGGAAUCCUCAAAAUACUGCUUUCUCCUUUCCCUUGCUCCCCACAGAGGACCUGCAGGUAAUAGGAUUCAGUUUUAUCUCCAUAGCGACUCUGGCUCCCAACACUAUUUAUAGCAGAGCCACAGCCCCUCCCCUGCUUGGUGACCGCACACUGCUAGCAGCUGCUACUCCAGGGUCGGCCAAGGCCCAUAACAAUUCACUCUCCUCGAACCUAGAGACACUUCUCCCACUGACAGUACCUGCUAAGAAUUAGCAUCCAGUUCAAAAUGCAUAUCUAUCUGCUGAAGUCCGACAUCACCAUCAGCUCCACCCAGAGGAUCUCAUAGUAAAACCACAGGAACCAGAGAGCGAUAUGACAUCUCUGCUGACGUGAACACAACGGGAGGCUCUCCUCCCCUCCUCUACCUCCCCAGGCAGUGACCUUGCAAGCUCAUCAGCACAGACUGGUCCAGCGUACGGGAGAACUGGAGCAAGGAGGCUGGCAGCUGGCAGGGUUGGGGUGGAGGGGAGGGCAGGGAAAGGUGGAAGAAGGUAGAUACACGAGGAUGGGGAGGAGAGCCAUUGCAGACAGAUGAAAUGGUGUUCUCUCUCCAGCAAGUCAAUUUUGAAACAUCAAGUUAAAAAAAAAAAUUCUUGAGAA
Long non-coding RNA from Nomascus leucogenys (northern white-cheeked gibbon), 1692 nucleotides. RefSeq lists it as uncharacterized. The record is from RefSeq and is a predicted model, not a curated record. The transcript is spliced from 3 exons. NCBI's taxonomy places the organism in Eukaryota, Metazoa, Chordata, Mammalia, Primates, Hylobatidae.